GAUGAAGAACGCAGCGAAAUGCGAUAAGUAAUGCGAAUUGCAGAAUUCAGUGAGUCAUCGAAUCUUUGAACGCACAUUGCGCCCUGUGGUAUUCCGCAGGGCAUGCCUGUUCGAGCGUCAUUUCAACCCUCAAGCCUCGCUUGGUGUUGGGCCCUGCCCGCCGCGGCCGGCCCUAAAGAUAGUGGCGGCGCCGCCUGGCCCUCAGCGUAGUACAGCUCUCGCUCCAGGGUCCGGCGGCAGCCUGCCAGAACCCCCCAACUCUGUGGUUGACCUCGGAUCAGGUAGGGAUACCCGCUGAACUUAAGCAUAUCAAUAAGCGGAGGA
RNAcentral lists this unclassified non-coding RNA (324 nucleotides) under soil metagenome. Its description in RNAcentral is "partial contains 5.8S ribosomal RNA, internal transcribed spacer 2, and large subunit ribosomal RNA". The stretch from base 1 to 120 matches the Rfam family "5.8S ribosomal RNA", at positions 35 to 154 of the family's 154-position model. The record is from RNAcentral.